RNAcentral lists this long non-coding RNA (3191 nucleotides) under Pan troglodytes (chimpanzee). Its description in RNAcentral is "long non-coding RNA NONPTRT011378". The record is from RNAcentral. Lineage: Eukaryota; Metazoa; Chordata; Mammalia; Primates; Hominidae.
CACAGAAACGCCGCGCCGAGGGCCGGGCCGGAGGAGCACAGGGGAGCGGCCGCUCCUCCCGGGAUGUGGGUGGGAGUGGGAGAGGCGGGAGUGUGUAUCACUGGCGCGUCGCCGAGGGAGGCUGAGCCCUGGGAGCCGGCCGCCAGCAUGCGUCGCUGGUGUCACCGUGUGUGGUGGCUUGCGAGGGUGUGUGUGUCCCGAAGGGAAAACACUGUGCGUGUGAUAAGUUGCACACCUCCCAACACACACUCCUCGUUUUACAAAAAUCAGCAGCUGAGGGCAGAGGACAAGGAGGGCUGGCCAGUGCACAAACUGGGGCUUGGCUCCCAUCCGGGGCCUGUGUCCCUGAGUGGAUGCAGAAGCUCUGGACCAACCAGCCCAGGUGUCUGGCAGGGCCCAGGGCCCACCUCCCCAGACACACACAUACUUUUCCUGGUCACUGCCCCCCUCACACUCCCCGCAAGGAGCCCAGGCAUCUCCUCCUUCAGGAAGGAGAAAGGAACCCCUCACACCAGGGUAUUGGCUCACAGAGACCCUCACAGCCCACACGGAAACAGGAACACAUACCUGGACACAGGCUCACACCUGGAAGCACACCCAGGGAAAUCACUCCUGCUCUCGGAAUCCUAGUUGGGAGAGCCCACCAGCAGGCUGUGAGGCAGUGGCAAGGCUUGAAAAGGCUUCUUGGUGAGAUGCCCCUUCCCUCUGCCAGGGGCUGGGAACAGGAAGGCUGGAGGUCACUGAACCUUGAACCUUAGCGGCCCCAGCACCUUGUGAUGGGCCCUGAGGGUACCGCCCUGUGUGAAGGGCCUCAGAACCCCAGCACUCCCAAGGACCGGAGCCAAGGUGGGGAUAUGGGCACUGUAGUGAUAUUGAUCACCAGACACUGGGUGGGGAGCUGGGCUGGAGCGGGUGCUUCGGAGCAUCCAAGGUUCCCUCCACCCAUCAGGCCAGUCCUCACCUUGGGCACUCACCUCAGCGACCUACUAUCCCAGCUUCGGGUAGAUGUCACCCAGCUGCACUGGGAACUAUGGGAGGUAGCCCAGGCCAUGCAGCACCUGCCAGCCUUCCCGCCUGGGCUCACAGGGCUGUCAUGCUCCCAUCCUCCUCCCUUCACCCUACAGCUGGGCCAUGGCUCUGAGACAGUGACCUUGCCUGCAGGAUGGCGCACAUGAGUCUUUCACCCCUCCUUACCAGCUAUUUCCCCUGGGCCCAAAGCACAGGAUUGCAGAGGGCUGGUGGGGCUGAACUUGCCAGGAGCUUGGGUCCUCCAUGUCCCCACCUGUGAGAUAGAGAGGACACCCUAUCCUGACCAGUCCACCACAGGGUGCCUAAACUGUAAAGUGCAUCUGCAGUACCCACGGGGGUCUUCAGCUCCCAAAACACUGGGGCAAGCUGGGUGAGGGAUGUUAUUUAACUGGAAUGGCUAUGGUUUGCAGAACCAGAGCUUCCAAAUUACUUAGCAAAACAUGUUUGCUUUUUAAUUAACAUGUGCUUGAAAAACAAUGGUUUUCAUUAAAGUGGGUGGGGGAGAGAAGGGACUGUAGGGGAGAAUAUUUCAAGGAGCUCCAAGUUCCAGGCCAGACUUCUUAAAAAUAAAGUGGGAGUCUUGCCCCAAGCCGGCAGAGGCUGGGAGGCAAGAUUCCCUGCUGGACAGCCCAAGGAACAGCCCUACUACCUGCCUCCACCACUCUCUGGCUCCCUGGCUGAGAAUCUGCCCUUUCGCUGAUGGCUCAGUUACUUACCUACUAUUCCCUGGGCCACUCUGGGAAGGGGAGGUCUUUUUUUUUUUUUUUUUUUUUUUUUUUGGAGAUGGAGUCUCACUCACCCUGUCACCUAGGCUGGAGUGCAGUGUCUUGAUCUCAGCUCACCACAACAUCCGCCUCUGGGGUUCAAGCAAUUCUCCUGCCUCAGCCUCCUGCAUAGCUGGGAUUACAGGCACGCACCACCACGUCCAGCUAAUUUUUCUAUUUUUAGUAGAGACAGGGUUUUGCAUUGUUGGCCAGGCUGCUUGAACUCCUGACCUCAAGUGAUCCGCCUGCCUCGGCCUCCCAAAGUGCUGAGAUUACAGGCAUGAGCCACCGCGCCUGGCCGGUGUGGUCUUUUAUAAAGCAGUCUUGGCGUUCAAUGAAUGAGGUCCACCAGGCAGAUAAGCAAAAGGAAACAGCAUGAGUAACAACCUGAAAGCAUGGGCCUGGAAGCCACUGAUGUCCAAGCCCCAGGGAGAUUGGGGCAGGGAGGCUGAGCUGGUGCCAAGGACAUAAGGGUGGGAAGGGAGGAUGAACUCACAUGGAGCAGAGGGGAUAUGUGAGGAACUGGCCAGAGGAAGUGGAGGGCUGGGAGACUGGAAGCAGGACGCAUUCCAAAGCCUCAGGGCUUGCUCCCCAGAGGCUGAUGGGCAGGAUUGCAGGUUCAGUCAGUCCAACAGGGGGCAGCGUUGACUCCAUCAUCCAGCAUGGAGAAGGCAUGCCAUCGGUGUUCAAUAAAUGCCUGUGUUAGCGGCCCCAGCAUGGCUGCCUCCUGCAGAAGGCCAGGUGAGGGGCAAGCGCAACAGAGAAGCACUCGGCCUCCUCCAGCUCAGCGUCCAUGGGCCACAGAAUUCACAUAGGCAAGCCAAGGGCCACAGAGAGGAAAGAAGGAGAGAGGGAAAGAAGGAGGAAAGGGAAGAGGGGAAGGAGAAAUGUGGGACAAAGAGGGAAAGGAAGGAAGGAAGGAGGGGAGGGAGGGAGGAAAGGAGGAAGGAAGGAAAAAAAGGGGGAAGGAAGAAGGAAAAGAGGAAAGGAAGAAAGGAAAGGAGGGAAGAAGGGGAGGAAAAUGGGAGGGAAGGCAGGAAAGAAGAAAGGACGAAAGGGAGGGAGGUGGGUAGGAAGGGAGGGAGGGAGAAAAGGAAGAAAAAAGAGGAGGGGAGGGAAGGAAGGAGAGAAGGAAAAAAGAGAGGGAGGAAGGGAAAUAAGUCAGAAAGGAAGGCCGGCAAGAAGCCAUUUAUUCAUGAGGCCCAUGGGGUGGGGACAGAGCUGCUGUCACAGGUAAGCACAGCCUGAGAGGGGCCAGAGAUGGCAACCACGCGGAGAGGUCCAAGGGUUUUUGCAGGAGUCUUGGUAAGGCUCCCGUCCUUCCCACGACUCCAGGCCGCUGGUGUCAGCAUCACAAAGGGGAGAUGAGACGUCCCUGCACAGCCUUCCCUGGGCUUC